GACGAACGCUGGCGGCGUGCCUAAUACAUGCAAGUAGAACGCUGAAGGAGGAGCUUGCUUCUCUGGAUGAGUUGCGAACGGGUGAGUAACGCGUAGGUAACCUGCCUGGUAGCGGGGGAUAACUAUUGGAAACGAUAGCUAAUACCGCAUAAUAGCAGUUGUUGCAUGACAACUGUUUGAAAGGUGCAAUUGCACCACUACCAGAUGGACCUGCGUUGUAUUAGCUAGUUGGUGGGGUAACGGCUCACCAAGGCGACGAUACAUAGCCGACCUGAGAGGGUGAUCGGCCACACUGGGACUGAGACACGGCCCAGACUCCUACGGGAGGCAGCAGUAGGGAAUCUUCGGCAAUGGACGGAAGUCUGACCGAGCAACGCCGCGUGAGUGAAGAAGGUGUUCGGAUCGUAAAGCUCUGUUGUAAGAGAAGAACGGGUGUGAGAGUGGAAAGUGCACACUGGGACGGUAUCUUACCAGAAAGGGACGGCUAACUACGU
RNAcentral lists this ribosomal RNA (494 nucleotides) under uncultured bacterium. Its description in RNAcentral is "partial 16S ribosomal RNA". It matches the Rfam family "Bacterial small subunit ribosomal RNA", at positions 28 to 506 of the family's 1533-position model. The record is from RNAcentral.